This 265-nucleotide ribosomal RNA is filed under the name uncultured Prevotella sp. RNAcentral's name for it is "partial 16S ribosomal RNA". It matches the Rfam family "Bacterial small subunit ribosomal RNA", at positions 91 to 356 of the family's 1533-position model. The record is from RNAcentral. Lineage: Bacteria; Pseudomonadati; Bacteroidota; Bacteroidia; Bacteroidales; Prevotellaceae.
UCGACCGGCGCACGGGUGAGUAACGCGUAUCCAACCUUCCCAUUACUGUGGGAUAACCUGCCGAAAGGCAGACUAAUACCGCAUAGUCUUCGAUGACGGCAUCAGAUUUGAAGUAAAGAUUUAUCGGUAAUGGAUGGGGAUGCGUCUGAUUAGCUUGUUGGCGGGGUAACGGCCCACCAAGGCGACGAUCAGUAGGGGUUCUGAGAGGAAGGUCCCCCACAUUGGAACUGAGACACGGUCCAAACUCCUACGGGAGGCAGCAGCG